Molecule: ribosomal RNA, 492 nt
Filed under: uncultured bacterium
Lineage: Bacteria
Description: partial 16S ribosomal RNA
Rfam family: Bacterial small subunit ribosomal RNA
Source: RNAcentral
AGUGAACGCUGGCGGUAGGCCUAACACAUGCAAGUCGAACGGCAGCACAGUAAGAGCUUGCUCUUACGGGUGGCGAGUGGCGGACGGGUGAGGAAUACAUCGGAAUCUACUUUUUCGUGGGGGAUAACGUCGGGAAACUUACGCUAAUACCGCAUACGACCUACGUGUGAAAGCAGGGGAUCUUCGGACCUUGCGCGAUUGAAUGAGCCGAUGUCGGAUUAGCUAGUUGGCGGGGUAAAGGCCCACCAAGGCGACGAUCCGUAGCUGGUCUGAGAGGAUGAUCAGCCACACUGGAAGAGAGACACGGUACAGACUCCUGCGGGAGGAAGCAGUGGGGAAUAUUGGACAAUGGGGGAGAGCCUGAUACAGCCAUACCGCGUAGGUGAAGAAGGAGUUAGGGUUGUAAAGCCAUUUUGUUGGGAGAGAAAAGAAGCAGGUUAAUACCCCGCUGUUAUGACGGUACCCAAAGAAUAAGCACCGGCUAACUUCGUG